This is a long non-coding RNA of Papaver somniferum (opium poppy), 1555 nucleotides long. RefSeq lists it as uncharacterized. Lineage: Eukaryota; Viridiplantae; Streptophyta; Magnoliopsida; Ranunculales; Papaveraceae. The transcript is spliced from 3 exons. The record is from RefSeq and is a predicted model, not a curated record.
ACUCCUGCUCUUCUUCUUAUCCUCUUUCUCUUCUUCUUCUUCACAGUAAAUUUCCAUUUUCACAAUCAACCACAACUUCAUCCUCAACUUGUUCCACCAAUUCAAUCAAUUGAAGAAUCAAGUUUUCAAACUCCUGAACAACAACCCAUGGUGUGUUAAGGUCGACUUACAGUAAUUUAGUCAUGGAUAACCUAAUGGAUAUAAUCCACUAUUGUUGGUGUAAUAAUGUUGGCCUCUGUCAUGGUACUCAAGCUUUUGGACUACACAUGAUCUAAAGGCAUGCCCUGGUCGGGCAACCGUACAGAGAAAGUGAAAAGUAGAGACAUGCUUAAUAUACAACAGUAUUUAUUCGGCUGCAUGUAUCAAUCUUCUUAUGCACAGAUGUACAUAUGUACUGUGUAUGUUUUUAGUAUGUUUAAUGUACAAAUUUAGAUUCUCAUGUCAUUGAUGUUUAGCUGAAGGACAGGAACCUUUUUCUCUGCAAUCAUUGUGGACCAUUCGGAAGCACUUAAAAUCCCAUGCGCUUCCCUUGCUUGUGCGCGCUUGUAACGUUAAUGAUGCCCACAUACAAGAAGAAGUUCUACAAAGAACUGUGGUCUCAUGAAGCAGCUUGAUUUUCAGGUAAGACUUGAUCCUUUGCUAUGCCUGGGAGAAUUGCUGAGCACCACGGACAUACAUGCAACAUUGGAGAUUUUGCAGACGGUCCAACGGUGUACAGUUGUGGAUCAUUCAGCUCCCACCCUCAUGUGUACUUUGGGAGUUACGUUGAAGACUUGAUUCUCAAGCAGGUACUCUCUGUAAUUUCUACUCUUAUGCUUUUCUUGGAAUUCCUCCUUCUGCGUUGCAGAUCUUUAAAAUGCUUUGUCUUGUUAAAAAGUUGAAGAAAGUAACUUUUCCUUCUUCUAGUACAAUUAAAAAGGUUGUGGAAAAUCGUACUUUAUAAUCACAAUUUUUUUCUUCUGAUCAAUAUGCCUUGUUUAGCACGCGUGAAUUUGCUGCGGAGCAUGUCCUUCCAUUACUUUUGCCACUUCGCAUUGCGCCACAAUUGAAUGGUCAGCUGUUUGCUAAAUGCAUUUUUUUUUGUGAAAGAUAUCCCCAGGUGGUUCAAGUGAUACGUUAACUACAUAUCUCUUUUCUUUCCUGUAUGGGUUUCUCUCUUUCUUAAUUCAAUAUGGCCAACACAUUUGAGCUGGAGAAAAAUAUCUGCUUUUUCCCACCCUUCAAUUUCGCAGGAAAAUGGAAGAAAAGCGAGGUGUUUCUGUGACUGAUUCUGGAACUCUAGAAAUUGGGGUAACACCAGUACUAAAUGAGACUCCGUCUCAACCAUCUGUCAAAGAAAGCUUAAGCUUUUUGGGGUUAAUCCACUUGAUCGUACGCAGUCUUUUUUGUGAUGUAUUAUUGUGAUAUCAGUGAUACGAAAAGAAGUGUAAUCAGGAGUCACGUACAUACAAGUUAAUCUUUUUAUAUUUUUUUUUGCAAGUUUGUUGGGCACUUCUCUGUAUUUCUUGAAUAUGCAAAUCUAUAUAUAUCAUGGAACAGUGCAAUUUCCUUCAUA